UACGUAGGGGGCAAGCGUUGUCCGGAAUCAUUGGGCGUAAAGCGCGCGUAGGCGGCCCGGUAAGUCCGCUCUGAAAGUCCAGGGCUUAACCCUGGAAAGCGGGUGGAUACUGCCGGGCUAGAAUCCGGAAGAGGCGAGUGGAAUUCCUGGUGUAGCGGUGAAAUGCGUAGAUAUCAGGAAGAACAUCGGUGGCGAAGGCGCUCUGCUGGACCAUAACUGACACUCAGGGACGAAAGCUAGGGGAGCGAAUGGG
RNAcentral lists this ribosomal RNA (253 nucleotides) under uncultured bacterium. RNAcentral's name for it is "partial 16S ribosomal RNA". It matches the Rfam family "Bacterial small subunit ribosomal RNA", at positions 524 to 776 of the family's 1533-position model. The record is from RNAcentral.